This 85-nucleotide transfer RNA is filed under the name Felis catus (domestic cat). It matches the Rfam family "tRNA". From Rfam's summary of the family: Transfer RNA (tRNA) molecules are approximately 80 nucleotides in length. Their secondary structure includes four short double-helical elements and three loops (D, anti-codon, and T loops). Further hydrogen bonds mediate the characteristic L-shaped molecular structure. tRNAs have two regions of fundamental functional importance: the anti-codon, which is responsible for specific mRNA codon recognition, and the 3' end, to which the tRNAs corresponding amino acid is attached (by aminoacyl-tRNA synthetases). tRNAs cope with the degeneracy of the genetic code in two manners: having more than one tRNA (with a specific anti-codon) for a particular amino acid; and 'wobble' base-pairing, i.e. permitting non-standard base-pairing at the 3rd anti-codon position. Lineage: Eukaryota; Metazoa; Chordata; Mammalia; Carnivora; Felidae. RNAcentral also lists the same sequence under 3 other names. The record is from Rfam by way of RNAcentral.
GCUUGGGUAGCUCAGUCCGUUGAGCACUUGACUUUGGCUCAGGUCGUGAUCUCACAGUUCAUGGAUUCAAGCUCCAUGUCCAGCU